UCCUCCGCUUAUUGAGGUGACUGCGGAAGGAUCAUUACCUAGAGUUUGUGGGCUUUGCCUGCUAUCUCUUACCCAUGUCUUUUGAGUACUUACGUUUCCUCGGCGGGUCCGCCCGCCGAUUGGACAAAAUUAAACCCUUUGCAGUUGCAAUCAGCGUCUGAAAAACAUAAUAGUUACAACUUUCAACAACGGAUCUCUUGGUUCUGGCAUCGAUGAAGAACGCAGCGAAAUGCGAUAAGUAGUGUGAAUUGCAGAAUUCAGUGAAUCAUCGAAUCUUUGAACGCACAUUGCGCCCCUUGGUAUUCCAUGGGGCAUGCCUGUUCGAGCGUCAUUUGUACCUUCAAGCUCUGCUUGGUGUUGGGUGUUUGUCUCGCCUUUGCGUGUAGACUCGCCUCAAAACAAUUGGCAGCCGGCGUAUUGAUUUCGGAGCGCAGUACAUCUCGCGCUUUGCACUCAUAACGACGACGUCCAAAAAGUACAUUUUUACACUCUGACCUCGAUCAGGUAGCAUCCCAU
RNAcentral lists this ribosomal RNA (516 nucleotides) under Dothiorella gregaria. RNAcentral describes it as "eukaryotic LSU rRNA". The stretch from base 178 to 331 matches the Rfam family "5.8S ribosomal RNA". Lineage: Eukaryota; Fungi; Ascomycota; Dothideomycetes; Botryosphaeriales; Botryosphaeriaceae. The record is from RNAcentral.